Molecule: unclassified non-coding RNA, 1185 nt
Filed under: Hevea brasiliensis (rubber tree)
Lineage: Eukaryota; Viridiplantae; Streptophyta; Magnoliopsida; Malpighiales; Euphorbiaceae
Source: RNAcentral
AGAAAUGAAAAAGAAAAGAAAAGAUGAUGCCAAGAACAGAGAUUACAUGAAGUCUACUAUGCAAGAGUCUUCCGAGGACACAGAUGAUGAUCAGCAUGAGGAAAGGCUAAGUAGCUAUGUAAAGAAGAAAGGUAAGUUUCUGAAAUGCAAGUCGCAUGCAACAGAUCAGGAGACUGAUGGUGAUACAAGUGACGAUUCUUCAAAGGGAGGAAGAUCUAGGCAAGAGGUGUCCGGAAAAUCAUCUAUUGGAGCUGCUUCCAGUGAAAUACAGGGAAGAAAAAGUAGGAUAAUUGGGAGAUGUACAUUGUUGGUUCGCAGGUCUGAUAAGGAGCAAGAUUCUGAAAGCGAUGGCUAUGUUCCUUAUACUGGAAAGAGAACCUUAUUGGCCUGGAUGAUCGACUCUGGGACAGCGAAGUUAAGUCAGAAGGUUCAAUAUAUGAAUCGUAGGAGGACCAGAGUAAAGCUAGAAGGUUGGAUAACACGAGAUGGCAUCCAUUGUGGUUGCUGUAGUAAAAUUCUUCCAGUUUCAAAAUUUGAGCUGCAUGCAGGAAGUACAUUGCGUCAACCGUAUCAAAACAUAAUCUUGGAGUCUGGUGUUUCUUUGCUGGAGUGCUUGGUAGAUGCAUGGAAUCGGCAAGGAGAAUCUGAUCGGGAAGAUUUCCACACUGUGAAUGCAGACAGUGAUGACCCUGAUGAUGAUACUUGUGGUAGAUGUGGUGAUGGUGGGGACCUUAUCUGUUGUGAUGGUUGCCCUUCGACUUUUCAUCAAAGCUGUCUGGGUGUACAAAUGCUUCCUCCAGGUGAUUGGCUCUGUCCAAAUUGCACAUGCAAAUUUUGUAACACCGGCAGUACUGUCACAGAGGAAGGUGGGGGAGCUGUAGAUGAGCUUCUCUGGUGCAGCCUCUGUGAGAAAAAAUAUCAUAAAUCAUGCAGUCUUGAUAUGAAUGCUAUAUCCUCUAGUUCUAAUAAUCCAUCUGUAUCGUUUUGCGGGCAGAAAUGCCAAGAGCUGUAUGAUCAUCUGCAGAAGAUUCUUGGUGUCAAACAUGAGAUUGAAGCUGGAUUCUCAUGGUCCCUAAUUCAACGAACGGAUUUAGACUCUGAUCAUUCUCAUCAUGCCUUUUCUCAACGGGUGGAGUGCAAUUCUAAACUAGCUGUUGCACUGACUGUUAUGGAUGAAUGUUUUUU